CAGGAAACCAACACAAACAAGCUAAAGCAAAAAAAAAAAAAAAAAAAAAAAGACUCUCAGUGGACACUGACAUGAAUAAGUAAGAAAUUAGAUGCCAUUAUAAUUCACUGAGAUUCGAAGAUUUGUUGCUGGAGCAUAGUCCAACCUGACUGAUACUGAGAGUGAACUUAGUUUCUAGCUUUAUAGUUCCAUUCUCCUUGUGAGUUGAUUUUAUUUCACUUCCCAUGAAAUCCUCUGAGAUCACCUAAGUGGGUUUCUGAUCCUUUCAAUGAAUAAUCCCUGAUAAAACUGAUAAACAAAUGAUAUUUAUUUAUAACUAUUUGAUUCUUAAACAUUUAUCUUGUAAUAGGUUCUUCUACCCUUCUGUAUGCCAAAGUUAAGUUGUAUGUGUAUAUACACUUCGAAAAGUCCACCCUCUUGUUUAGGUGGGAAGUACAGACAGGUGAUGAUACUUGCAAAAAGUUUCCUGCAAUCUUGCAUCGUCACCCAGGCUACAGUGCAGUGGUGAGAUCUUGGCUCACUGCAACCUCUGCCUCCCAGGUUCAAGCAAUUCUCCUGCCUCAGCCACCCAAGUAGCUGGAACUACAGGCAUGCACCACCAUGCCCAGCUAAUUUUUGAUUUUUCAGUAGAAAUGGAGUCUCAACAUGCUGGUCAGGCUGGUCUUAAACUCCUGGCCUCAAGAGAUCUGACCGCCUCGGCCUCCCGAAGUGCUGGGAUUACAGGCAUAAUCCACUGCACCCAGCCCUGAUUCAGUGACUAUUGAAACCCCAGGAAUUCAAGGAUAAUAUCGGGAUUUAGGAAUGUGAACUGCUUAAAAUCACAAAGUAAUAGCAGUGGUUUCUAUUGCCCAUUUUAAAGUAUCUACAAAAUCACUUUUUUGGUGUUAUAAUUCUUUUAACAAGUAAGUUGAAUAAAGGAAUAUAGUUAAGUACUGGCACUAAAUAAAAACUGCUGCCAAAUAUUUGACUUAUAAGACCAUUAUUAUUAUUAUUAUUAUUAUUCAUGUGUUAUUAUUUUUCAUGGAGUUUUGAAGACCAAAAAUAUCUGAAAAACAUUUUAAUCUGGCCAGUUGAAAACUAGUGAAUUUCAACCAGAUGUUUUUAAUACCACUUUAAAAAUAAACUUCAGCCAUUUUAUUA
Molecule: non-coding RNA, 1140 nt
Filed under: Pan troglodytes (chimpanzee)
Lineage: Eukaryota; Metazoa; Chordata; Mammalia; Primates; Hominidae
Source: RNAcentral